Molecule: ribosomal RNA, 501 nt
Filed under: uncultured bacterium
Lineage: Bacteria
Description: partial 16S ribosomal RNA
Rfam family: Bacterial small subunit ribosomal RNA
Source: RNAcentral
AUUGAACGCUGGCGGCAUGCCUUACACAUGCAAGUCGAACGGCAGCACGGGUGCUUGCGCCUGGUGACGAGUGGCGAACGGGUGAGUAAUACAUCGGAACGUACCUUAUCGUGGGGGAUAACGCAGCGAAAGCUGUGCUAAUACCGCAUACGCCCUGAGGGGGAAAGCGGGGGAUCGAAAGACCUCGCGCGAUUAGAGCGGCCGAUGCCUGAUUAGCUUGUUGGUGGGGUAAAAGCCCACCAAGGCGACGAUCAGUAGCUGGUCUGAGAGGACGAUCAGCCACACUGGGACUGAGACACGGCCCAGACUCCUACGGGAGGCAGCAGUGGGGAAUUUUGGACAAUGGGGGCAACCCUGAUCCAGCAAUGCCGCGUGAGUGAAGAAGGCCUUCGGGUUGUAAAGCUCUUUUGUCAGGGAAGAAACACCGGCUCUAACACAGUCCGGGAAUGACGGUACCUGAAGAAUAAGCACCGGCUAACUACGUGCCAGCCGCCGCAGUAA